UGGGGAAUAUUGGACAAUGGGGGGAACCCUGAUCCAGCCAUGCCGCGUGUGUGAAGAAGGCCUUAUGGUUGUAAAGCACUUUAAGCGAGGAGGAGGGUACUGGUAUUAAUACUACCAGGUACUGGACGUUACUCGCAGAAUAAGCACCGGCUAACUCUGUGCCAGCAGCCGCGGUAAUACAGAGGGUGCGAGCGUUAAUCGGAUUUACUGGGCGUAAAGCGUGCGUAGGCGGCUAAUUGAGUCGGAUGUGAAAUCCCCGAGCUUAACUUGGGAAUUGCAUUCGAUACUGGUUAGCUAGAGUGUGGGAGAGGAUGGUAGAAUGCCAGGUGUAGCGGAGAAAUGCGUAGAGAUCUGGAGGAAUACCGAUGGCGAAGGCAGCCAUCUGGCCUAACACUGACGCUGAGGUACGAAAGCAUGGGGAGCAAACAGG
RNAcentral lists this ribosomal RNA (430 nucleotides) under Pseudomonadota bacterium. Its description in RNAcentral is "Proteobacteria bacterium partial 16S ribosomal RNA". It matches the Rfam family "Bacterial small subunit ribosomal RNA", at positions 355 to 776 of the family's 1533-position model. The record is from RNAcentral. Lineage: Bacteria; Pseudomonadati; Pseudomonadota.